UACGUAGGCAGCAAACGUUGUUCGGAGUUACUGGGCGUAAAGAGUACGUAGGCGGUUUGCCAAGUUUGGUGUGAAAUCCCCGAGCUCAACUCGGGAACUGCGUCCGAUACUGGCGGGCUUGAAUCCGGGAGAGGGAUGCGGAAUUCCAGGUGUAGCGGUGAAAUGCGUAGAUAUCUGGAGGAACACCGGUGGCGAAGGCGGCAUCCUGGACCGGCAUUGACGCUGAGGCGCGAAAGCUAGGGGAGCAAACGGG
Molecule: ribosomal RNA, 253 nt
Filed under: uncultured bacterium
Lineage: Bacteria
Description: partial 16S ribosomal RNA
Rfam family: Bacterial small subunit ribosomal RNA
Source: RNAcentral